This 305-nucleotide ribosomal RNA is filed under the name uncultured bacterium. RNAcentral's name for it is "bacterial SSU rRNA". It matches the Rfam family "Bacterial small subunit ribosomal RNA", at positions 333 to 636 of the family's 1533-position model. The record is from RNAcentral.
GUGGUCCUACGGGGGGCAGCAGUGAGGAAUAUUGGUCAAUGGGCGCGAGCCUGAACCAGCCAAGUAGCGUGAAGGAUGACUGCCCUACGGGUUGUAAACUUCUUUUAUAAAGGAAUAAAGUGAGGCACGUGCGCCUUUUUGUAUGUACUUUAUGAAUAAGGAUCGGCUAACUCCGUGCCAGCAGCCGCGGUAAUACGGAGGAUGCGAGCGUUAUCCGGAUUUAUUGGGUUUAAAGGGUGCGUAGGCGGACAGUCAAGUCAGCGGUAAAAAUGCGGUGCUCAACGCCGUACAGCCGUUGAAACUGG